CCCCUGCCUCCAAAUUGAAAAGAUACAAAAAUUUCGUCUUAUAAUUUAAAAUUGCCGCCAACAGCAUGAACAGUGGAACUUAUUUUAAGACUACUGACGUAGUUGACUACGUAUUGACGACAAACAAUUUUCCUACGACUUUUGCCAUUUGGGAAAUCUAAACUACUUGUCUUUAGAGAUUUUCGGCGAUUAAACAUUCUAUACGUUUGUU
Molecule: long non-coding RNA, 211 nt
Filed under: Mytilus galloprovincialis (Mediterranean mussel)
Lineage: Eukaryota; Metazoa; Mollusca; Bivalvia; Mytilida; Mytilidae
Source: RNAcentral